Molecule: long non-coding RNA, 224 nt
Filed under: Populus tremula
Lineage: Eukaryota; Viridiplantae; Streptophyta; Magnoliopsida; Malpighiales; Salicaceae
Description: long non-coding RNA (PTRE_LNC002857)
Source: RNAcentral
CAGAUCGUUAGAUGUAGGAAUUCUCCUGUUUAUGAAUUACCAUUUUGGAAUGUAAUAUCAUGUCUUUACUUUCAAUGUAAAUCCUUUUGUGAUGCAAAAAUCAAGUAGAAUGUGUAAUAGGUAGUGGAUGUAAUAUAUAUAUAUAUAUAUAUAUGUAUAGUUAUUAGUAUGAGCAAAUCAUUUUCAAAAUGAUAAGAUAAGAUUUAUUAUAAACAUAAUAUGAC